RNAcentral lists this unclassified non-coding RNA (337 nucleotides) under soil metagenome. Its description in RNAcentral is "partial contains 5.8S ribosomal RNA, internal transcribed spacer 2, and large subunit ribosomal RNA". The stretch from base 1 to 120 matches the Rfam family "5.8S ribosomal RNA", at positions 35 to 154 of the family's 154-position model. The record is from RNAcentral.
GAUGAAGAACGCAGCGAAAUGCGAUAAGUAGUGUGAAUUGCAGAAUUCAGUGAAUCAUCGAAUCUUUGAACGCACAUUGCGCCCCUUGGUAUUCCAUGGGGCAUGCCUGUUCGAGCGUCAUUUGUACCUUCAAGCUCUGCUUGGUGUUGGGUGUUUGUCUCGCCUCUGCGUGUAGACUCGCCUCAAAACAAUUGGCAGCCGGCGUAUUGAUUUCGGAACGCAGUACAUCUCGCGCUUUGCACUCAUAACGACGACGUCCAAAAGUACAUUUUUACACUCUUGACCUCGGAUCAGGUAGGGAUACCCGCUGAACUUAAGCAUAUCAAUAAGCGGAGGA